UCUCUGGUGGCUCAGACGGUAAAGCGUCUGCCUACAAUGCAGGAGACCCAGGUUCAAUCCCAGGAUUGGGAA
This 72-nucleotide transfer RNA is filed under the name Ovis aries (sheep). It matches the Rfam family "tRNA". Rfam says of the family: Transfer RNA (tRNA) molecules are approximately 80 nucleotides in length. Their secondary structure includes four short double-helical elements and three loops (D, anti-codon, and T loops). Lineage: Eukaryota; Metazoa; Chordata; Mammalia; Artiodactyla; Bovidae. The record is from Rfam by way of RNAcentral.